This 253-nucleotide ribosomal RNA is filed under the name uncultured bacterium. RNAcentral describes it as "partial 16S ribosomal RNA". It matches the Rfam family "Bacterial small subunit ribosomal RNA", at positions 524 to 776 of the family's 1533-position model. The record is from RNAcentral.
UACGAAGGGUGCAAGCGUUAAUCGGAAUUACUGGGCGUAAAGGGUGCGUAGGCGGUUCGUUAAGUCUGAUGUGAAAGCCCUGGGCUCAACCUGGGAAUUGCAUUGGAUACUGGCAGGCUAGAGUGCGGUAGAGGAUGGCGGAAUUCCCGGUGUAGCAGUGAAAUGCGUAGAGAUCGGGAGGAACAUCUGUGGCGAAGGCGGCCAUCUGGACCAGCACUGACACUGAGGCACGAAAGCGUGGGGAGCAAACAGG